GUCGAGGAUCUUGGACAAUGGGCGCAAGCCUGAUCCAGCGACGCCGCGUGGGGGAUGAAGGUCUUCGGAUUGUAAACCCCUGUCACUUGGGAAAAACGCUCCGCGCCUAACAUGCGCGGAAUUGAUGGUACCAGGAGAGGAAGGGACGGCUAACUCUGUGCCAGCAGCCGCGGUAAUACAGAGGUCCCAAGCGUUGUUCGGAUUUACUGGGCUUAAAGGGUGCGCAGGCGGUCGGAUAAGUCGGGUGUGAAAUCCCAAAGCUUAACUUUGGAACUGCGCCCGAAACUGUCUGGCUCGAGGAUUGGAGAGGAGACUGGAAUUCCAGGUGUAGCGGUGAAAUGCGUAGAUAUCUGGAGGAACACCAACGGCGAAGGCAGGUCUCUGGACAAUUCCUGACGCUCAUGCACGAAAGCCAGGGGAGCAAACGGGAUUAGAAACCCGUGUAGUCC
Molecule: ribosomal RNA, 449 nt
Filed under: uncultured bacterium
Lineage: Bacteria
Description: bacterial SSU rRNA
Rfam family: Bacterial small subunit ribosomal RNA
Source: RNAcentral